This is a long non-coding RNA of Paramisgurnus dabryanus, 4100 nucleotides long. RefSeq lists it as uncharacterized. Lineage: Eukaryota; Metazoa; Chordata; Actinopteri; Cypriniformes; Cobitidae. The record is from RefSeq and is a predicted model, not a curated record.
UACAUCGGCCGUGUGUUGAUAAUAUCUCCACUCGAAGCAUUUUUAAACAGCAACUCCGAGAGAAAUCCUGUUUCUCCCUGCUGGCCUCCUCCGUACUUCCCGGCUGAUCUGAUUAUUUUUCCCUUCACGUUUUGUCCCAAUAGCAAAUUACCAAUUCUAUGAAUUGCAAAGCAGCCUGGAAGACGCUGAGGGGUAGAGAGGGGGAGAUGCCGAGAUUGAAAGGGAUCUUUGCAAACACAAUCACGUUCUUAAAUGGAAAUGUGGGGCUUUAAACAAAUCUUACAUCUCUCCUGUUCCAGUCGUCUAAAACUCCGCAAUCAGGCACACGGUCGACUCCAUCUAAAACCAAAGCUUUUAAAGAAGAUUUUUUUUUGGUGUCAGUUCUAUUCAAAUUAUUUACAUCAGUGUAUUUUUUUAGUUCACGUGCGUGUUUGUGUGUUUGUCUUGCUCUCAUUGGGGUGUUUCCACAGGCUUUGAGAGGAAAUGUGCUGUGCAUUUGGAGAAUUCAACCGUCAGACCAAAACGCUUCUCCGUGUGGCUCAAAGGGGCCUGAAAGGAUCCAGCGACUUGCUUUAAAGACAUCUGAAGAGUCCAGUUACAUUUGCUUGAGGGGUCGUUUGGGUAUGAAAUCCACCAAGAGGAUUUUAAAGAGGUCGUGACCAGCCCAGGUUUAGAAACAGAUGUAUAUACUUCGAAAGCAUGGGUGUAUUUGACCCCACCAUAAAAUGACACCGUGAUGGUAAAAGCCAGACUGACCAGGCCAACAACACCAGCCAAAAAGGGGUCACGACCAGACGGCAAGUGCUCCUGUCUCUGUGUCAUCUAUGGUAAAGGGUUUGUCAGAAGCCUGAAUUAAAUUAGACUGCUUUUAAUUGAAGAUUGACCAGUCUGAGAGCAGCUGACGCUUGGGUCAUUCAAGAUAGCAAAGCUUGAAUCCCUCAGGCCCCAACUGCAAUUUCAGCCCUGCAGGUCCUAGAACGGGAUGGGAGGGAGAGAAUGCGAGAGCAUGCUGGGAAUGCAUGGCUGAUGAUUAGCAAUAGGAGUUUAUAGGAAGGCUUAGAUGAGAUUUGGCUUGUUUGCUUGAGUGGAAAGUGUAGCAGCACAACAGGCCUACGCGGACAUGGAGUGAACCGAGGCAAGGUGGUCCGUUCUGCCAAAAAGCUUAUGUGCAAAUCGGCUUAAAGUUUGCACCUUGCUGAAAAUCUCCCAGUCUACACAAUUAAUCGCUUCAUUAAUUAACAAUCGCGCCAAUAUACCAUGCACCCCGGCUGAGUUUUGGCAAUCAGGUGGCAUAUGGCUAACCCUCCCCGAUCUUUCCUUUUCUUCUUAAUUUCUCUUAUUUCACUCCUACUACCUCCCUGAUUCUCGUCUUUUUCUUCUGUGCUGUUUUACGUUAAGCAGCAUCGCAACAGCCGACUGUUUUAGCUCGAACAGAUCUCCCGGCAAGCAGGUCAGAGCACUCCGCUAACAUUUGUUAUCUGUAAUCCUGCAGGUCCCCACACAAAAUGAGCGUAGUAAACUGUUGCAAAGCCCUAAUCCCUCCGUUCCUUUCAGAUGUGUUUUUUUCCAUCUUUUCUUUUGCAUUUAUGGAUUGGGAAAGCAUUUCGAGGAACCAUCUUUGAUUGCAACACAAAUGUAUUUUCACCCUUCUUACACUUCCAUCUCCUAUCAUUAACAACUCUUUUUCUGGCAAUUAAAUAGCAGUAGUGCUCCGAGAUUUAUUUGUUUUCACUUAGUAAUUUUGAUGAAUCAUAUCGCUGUAAGAGCCACCCAUGCUUUUAUGUCAAGACUUUGUUGAUUUGCUUUUUCAGAUUCAGUUUGCAAUAGCCGCAAUGCAAAAUUCAUACAUUACACAGCUUUAGUGAAUGUGUUUUUGAUUCAUCUUACUAUUAUACAGAUAGAAUUACGGUUUUCAUUCUCCAUCGGUCUCAGUUAUCUAUGCGCUUUUGCGUUUGAUUGAGUUUGAUACUAUGUAAAUGAUGUAUUUGAAUGCUCCCAUGCAGCUCUGGUGCAUUUUGUCUUGGUCAUGCACACCCACACAUGUAGCCACAUGCACACACGCGUGCAAACAACAACACAAAUUGUGUGUGUGUGUGUCUGUGUGUGUAGUACGGUUAGUAAUAGCAGAGCUCAGUGGAAGACUGUAGUGUUGACAGCAUAGUAAACGAUGCAGCCUGCCUACUGCAGCAGCAUCCCUGCUAAUCACACACACAACAUGAUAAUGAGAGCAACCCCAUCCUCACACACACACACUUGCACGACUAACCACAGCAAACGCACACAAACACCCUCUCACACACACUGACCCAUACUUCUACAGACAAAUGGAAGACAUAAUGGUAGCCGGAGGCAGUGCGCAUUACUUCACUCUGUCUCUCUCAAACCAAGCACAUCUCUAUCUCUUAACCCUCCUCACACACAUAUAAUAACAGCUCUCUUUCUCUCUCACUGGAAUUCAGUCUGGAAUUGACUGGAAUUCCCUUGAAAGUCUUUUAAGAGUUAAAAAGUUUAAAUGUGGAUAAUCCAUGUUUUACACAACCAUGCAUAUAAAAUAUGACAUAUUAGACUUAGUUUGUUAAGGGGAAAGAAGAAGAGAUCUUGAAAGAAAUGAAUAAUGCAAACUCUCAAACUCAGUUUGAUAGGCCCAUGGGUACAAGAUUUUAACUCUUUUUUUUUUCACGGUAGACCCCACAAGAUACUCAGGGUUCCCAUGGGUCCUUGAAAUCUUUGAAAGUUUGUGAAUCUGGGCGAAAAAAUUGAAGGCUUAGCCUUUUAAGCACACGUGCUAAACUGUUCACUUUAAAUGCUUAUAUCUUCUGUAUGCGAAUAUUGAUUCAUACCAAAAUGCUGUUUUGCAUAGUUGUGUUUGACACAUGAAAACGUCUCGGGUUACAUAUGUAACUGUUGUUCCCUUAGAAGGGAAUGAGACGCUGCGUCUCCCUUACCAUACUUCCUGCAUCCCUGUAACGCCGUCUUCGGCAAUAUUUCAGGUAACAAUAUGCUUCAUGGCUCCCGCAUCACCCUAUCUUUGUCGUUAAGCCUCAUCAUUGGUUGAAUUUGAAAUACACAUUCAGACGUCACCGUAGUGACGCAGCGCGAGUUCCCUCAACAGGGAACUGUAACAAUGUAUCUUAAAAGGUAACACGAUGUAACCUUGCUCUCACUUGAAAUGUGUCCCAACAUUUAGUCCUUGAAUGUGAGGGUAUUGGACCUUGAAAGGUCCUUGAAGGUCCUUGAAUUUGAAGUUAAGUAAGGUGUGGGAACCCUGUAUACUGUAAUUUACUCACCAUCAUGUUGUUUCAAACCUGUGUUACUUUGUAUCACCAUGGGUGUAUCUGGUCCCCAUUCACUAUCACUGUAUGAAAAUGAAACGUUCUGCUUAAUAUCUCUUCUUCUGUUCCAUGCAGAAAGGAAAGUCACACAGGCAUAUCAGAAUAGUUAGGAAGCAAACACAGUCAGUCUGUGACAUUGGGUACUAAAUUUAAAGACUGUGGCAAGAAAUUUAAGUCAGCGGAAAAAAUUACAACACAAUUGGUUUGGGGUCAUGUGCAGAUUUUUUGUGCAUUAUCCUUGAUUAAUGCAGGUAUAAAUUAGGAUAUUGUUUCCUGGCAAACGUGCACUCGGAGGAAUGGAGAUGUGUAAAUGGGUUAGUUCAUUUUAGGAGAGGUGACACUUCACACACUCUCACAUUCACACUUCUUUGUAUCUUGCAGGGCGGCAUGUGUGCUUAGACAGCAGGAUGUAGAGAGAACAGGUGUGGUGCCUGUAGGUCCUUUAUGUACCAUAUGUAUGCAGGUAAGGCCAUGGGGCAUGAUGUCACCGAAAGUGUCACUUCCGAACAGCUCAUGUCAACUCUCUCUCUUCUCUCUCAGUCACACACACACAUUAAACUGAUUGUUUAUUCAAUCCCUGCAGAAUUUUAUUAUUAUUAUGCUUGUUAUUAUUAUUAUUGUUUAUUAAAGAUAUUUGACGUUAUAUCAUUUUUAUUUGUUUUUAACAUUAUUGUCUUUUUAAAUAAAGUAGUGUUGUAUUAUUUUGUUCAUUUUUUUUUUUUUUACCAAAGAAUUAAUUGUUUUGUAACAUUUUGGGAAUGAUUGAUU